CUAUCUCAGUUCGGAUUGGAGGCUGAAACUCGCCUCCAUGAAGUUGGAUUCGCUAGUAAUCGCGCAUCAGCCAUGGCGCGGUGAAUACGUUCCCGGGCCUUGUACACACCGCCCGUCAAGCCAUGGGAGUUGGGGGUGCCUGAAGUUCGUGACCGCAAGGAGCGACCUAGGGCAAAACUAAUGACUGGGGCUAAGUCGUAACAAGGUAAC
RNAcentral lists this ribosomal RNA (210 nucleotides) under uncultured bacterium. RNAcentral describes it as "partial 16S ribosomal RNA". It matches the Rfam family "Bacterial small subunit ribosomal RNA", at positions 1283 to 1500 of the family's 1533-position model. The record is from RNAcentral.